CUGGGAGUGGUCUGAUGGGAGCGACAUCCAGUUCCUGCCUCUGACUUUGCAAUCAGCAGAUGGGGACUGUAUGAUGGUGGACCAGUCAUCAUCAUCGUGGCUUUUCCAGCCAUGCAACAAUGCCCACCCCUUCCUCUGCUACCAGGAUGUCCAAACUCCAGUGUUGAAGCGCAGCGUGAAGGUUUGGCUGAGAGCGGGAUCUGCAGACCUGAACAACCCCGCAGUGCAAGAGUCCAUCCUGAAGCAGGUCAGGGGACACAUGAUACCCUGUUCCUGCAGCAGAGCACCAAACUGCAGCCUCUUGCAUCUUCAAAAUAAAAAACCAGAGGAUCAUUUGGUGGUAUUUUCCUCUAGUCUGCAUGUCCUCAGUCAGCAAAAGAAAAUACUCGAUGACAACUGUGUUAGCAUGAAUUCAAGAAUUUAAGAAUGAAAUUCAGUCAUCCUGAUAUUUUCAGACUCCUCACUGAUUGUGCUGGUUAAAAAUCAGUCACUGUGUCUUCAUCAGGUUUCAAACACUUUAUACACUGAUGUAAUGUGUGAAAACUGUGUUUCAGGUGAGGGAGAAGCUGGUGGAGCAAGGAGUCACUGAGGAGGUGAAGCUGAGGUGGAGGACGCAGCCCGAUGGGAAGGUUUUCCACAGAGAGGAGGAGACAGCCGGUUACUGUGAGGAGGAAGACUGUGGGUCGGUUUAGUCUGCACACCAGGAAGUGACAUCAUCUGUUUAUUCAUUAUAAUUGGCUGAUGUUUCAUUGAUAAAUCAAUUACGUCUUUUAAUCUUUAGAAGUUAUCUGACUGACACAUAUCAGUAGUUAGCUCAUAAAUUAUUGUGUAUAUUAGGGUUAGUAAUCGAGUACAUGUAUGUGUGAUGUUUGAAAAGUAAUUACUCUGUAGAUUGUUUCAUGAUCUUGAGUUGCUGGACCUCUAACCACUGCUCUCCUGAGCAGGCUGACUCUCACAGUCCUGCUGUGCUGUCAGGAAACGAGUGCAAAUGAUUUUCUUUUUAAUAACUAUGACUUUUCUUCUUCAGCUGUUUUUCCCAGUGCAUGAAAUUGUAAUUUUCAUCUUAUGAAUUAAAUAAAAGAACAACUUUACACAACUCUACUUUUUCAUCACUUAGGGGUUAUGAUGGAAAACAAGGCGCCAAUAAAACUAAUUUGAAUACAUUUCAUGAUAUUGAUUAUGGCUGGGUAACACUGUUCCCUUAUUUGACUGAACUUUGAUUCAUGUUGUUUGCCUUUGAUUCUUGAUGAUUCGGUUAAAUCAGAGCUCAGAUUGUCAGAUUCACCUUAAAAGCCUGUCGUGCAUAGUGAAUGAAAAUAAAUCAGUCAAAUUUAAAAUCAAACCUUUAAUUAAGGGUAAAACUUGAAUGUGGUUUAAUGGAUAUGUUGGUGAUCUGGAGGAAGUAACUACUGAAGUUAGCUAAGAGAGAUCAGAGGGAAGCAAUCUAAACCUAUAUCAGCAGUUAUUAUAUGUUUAUUAUAUGUAGGCAGGCUAUGGUAAAGUUUUUCUAUAAAUUUCUAUAAACUUUGGUGUAAAAUUUAUUUAUACAGAAAUGUGAUGCAGCUCUGACUGAGGAUGACGAAUGAUGAAUGCCUAAAAUGAUGAGAGCUUCAUCUGAGGCUUGGACCCAACAGAGGUCCAUAUGUCAUCAGCAAGAAGAUGAAGAGAAAAUGCUUUAUGGAUGUAUCCAGUUUCAUUCAGUUAUUAAUAAUUACAUUUAAUCUAAACAACCUGAAGCUGCACUUUCUCCAUCAAAUUCCAGUCAGAUCAGGAAAACAGCUCAACAGUAACAUCCAGCAGUAAUAAAAAUUAUAAAACGUAUUUAAACCAGUUUAUUAUUGAUUUCUGAUCACCUCCACAUAUAACUGAGUUAUACGUUUAAAUGGAGCCUGUUUUGUUCUGAUCUUUUCAUGCGUGGACACCGGCUACGUACAGAAACACAGUGAGGACUCGUAUGCGAUCACCUCUUUAAUCGAACCCUCGGAUGACCAAAAAAGGAAAAUCUGUUACUGUUGCUAAACAUCUUUUUUAAUCAUGCAUUAAGCUGAUAGUAUGAGGAUUACAGCUUUAAUGGGUUCGAAUUUUCUGAGAGAGGAAAAUAUGAUUAAAAAACAUACAGUUAGUCCAUAAUAAGCAGCAAUCAUGAGUCCAAAUGUUCAUGGGAAAAGCACAAAAACACAGCAUUGUUGUGUUUAAAGAAUAUCUGCCCCUAAAAAGGAUGAUGAUCACACAGUAUAUGAACAGUUUUAUUCCCAGAAAUGAAUCCAGAGGUUCCCUGAAUCCACAGAGGAUUGACUUUGUUGGAAGAGAGGGGAGGAGGUGCAGACCUGACCUGGAGUUUAAUCACAGAGUCGGGAGAGCAGUGAGACCAGUGAGGGGUUAGCGGUCCAUACAGAACAGGUGUUUGGUAUCAGUGGAUAGAAGACCAGUGACUCCAAAUCAUCAGUAUAAGCGUUUAACACGAGUACAUAGUUUAUCAUGUUCUCUCUUACCUCUAAUAGACAGACUGAUUAUUCAUGUUCUCCACAGACAAACACUGAAUUUUUACAGCUUUAUCGAAUUUCUAAAAUAAGAAAUCAUGGAAUAAAUCAUCAAUCCUCUCCUGGUGUGCAGACUAAACCAUCCCACAGUGCUCGCUCUCACAGACGGAGUGAUGAAAGGCCGUUCAAACCAUUUAGCUGACGUUUGCUCCAUCGGCACGAUUUACUUUAGACCAGCACGACCUCCACUGUCUGUACUGGGUACUGCUGCCAUCUGACCACACCCGCUGCUGUUCAAACCAUUUCCACCCAUGGUGACCUCAUCAGAGGCGUUUGAUGCCAGCAGAGCGGCGACCUUCAUGCUGUUGGUCAGGUUUGUGUACCGAGCGUGAUAGCAGCUGCAUUGUGGAAGAGAGCCACAUGUUUCUGUGCUUUAUGCCACUGAUGAACCCAGUGAGUCUUACAAUAUCAGUUAUGACGCGGGUCGUUUCCAUGGCAACAAGAAGAUGCUGAAUGACUGUCUGAUAAAUAACUGAAUGAGUGAAUAUUUCAUCUCAUUUCUCUUUCUAGUGAGCUUGUCUUCAUAGAGCCACAAAAUGCAUAAAACUGCUGACAUGAAGAGAAGCGUCCAGUCUGCUGAACUGGAAACAGUUAAAAGUCCAGAUAAUAAACAUCUGCUCCUCCGUCCUCUCUCAGAAAGUCAUCGUAAAUUAUGUAAAUCCAGAUGUAGUCUCAGGGAAUGGAAGUGCUCAUUAAGGUCUGUUUGUUUAAAAGAUAUCAGGAGUCUUUUCUUAAUGCAAAAAUCCGGCUUAUUCAAAUUCAUCUGAGAAGCAAAGAGUCCUCAGACUGACCUCCAUCAACCACAACAUGGUGAGUGAAUGAAGUGUGAAACCAUGAAACCAGACUGAGGUGAUACGCUGUAAGCUGUGCUCAUGCAUUUAUCCUGUCUGACUUUCUUCUGUACUUUUAGUCUGUAAGCGUAAUAAAGCUUUUCUCACAGCAUCAAACCUUGAACACGUCUGCUGCAUCAGGUCUCAGGUUUGUGUCUUUAUUUGAAUCUAAAGCAGAGUUUUGUGUAUUUGCAUGGCUGCCUCAGCACCUCAGUCAUAUUUGAGUGAAGCUGUAAUUAUUAUAAUUCUGGAAAGAGCAGAAAAGUUUAACUUGUUAUCCAAACAAAUUAGUAACGAGCAGACUGAGGACACAGCCCGACACGGUUUUGUUGUAACAUCAGGAUAUCUUUUUUUAAACAUGAUUUUUUUGGUAUCUUUGCCUUUAGUGCGUAGUGAUACAGUGAAAACACACAGGACAUGCCCCUUCUUUUCUUUAUUAUCCACCUCAGUUUCCCAGUAAUGAACUCUAUUUUUCUAAGUUGCUAAUUAUCUUAGAGUAAUACAUAACAUUACAUUCAAAAAUGUUAACAUCUCAAAUGUAUUUAAAUAAUAAUAAAUGUAAAAAAUAUAAAUAUAUAUUAACAAAAUAAAAUAUAUUUAAAAUCCAAUAUAUUCACUCACUGGACACUUUGUUAGGUACACCUGUUGAGCCCUGA
Molecule: long non-coding RNA, 4026 nt
Organism: Oreochromis niloticus (Nile tilapia)
Lineage: Eukaryota; Metazoa; Chordata; Actinopteri; Cichliformes; Cichlidae
Source: Ensembl